UAUUAAGCUCAGUGGUAGAGCGGUCAGCUGUUAACCGAUUGAUCAUAGGUUCGAAUCCUACUUUGAGAG
RNAcentral lists this transfer RNA (69 nucleotides) under Olea europaea subsp. europaea. RNAcentral's name for it is "tRNA.Asn". The stretch from base 6 to 61 matches the Rfam family "tRNA", at positions 9 to 63 of the family's 71-position model. Rfam says of the family: Transfer RNA (tRNA) molecules are approximately 80 nucleotides in length. Their secondary structure includes four short double-helical elements and three loops (D, anti-codon, and T loops). The record is from RNAcentral. Lineage: Eukaryota; Viridiplantae; Streptophyta; Magnoliopsida; Lamiales; Oleaceae.